This is a non-coding RNA of Trachemys scripta elegans, 627 nucleotides long. The record is from the annotation of a RefSeq genome assembly. Lineage: Eukaryota; Metazoa; Chordata; Testudines; Emydidae.
CAGUAGCAUCUUGGCCUGUUAUUUAGCCCUCCCUGCUCUCGGAAACGGGCAACGCUUCCCUCUCUCCCGUUUGCGCAGGGCAAGGCAGCGAGACCAGGGGCUGAUCCCGGGGAGGAGCAGAGACACCGAGAUUCCCCUGUGACCAUGGUACCAAUGCUGGGCUCGGCGCUUGUGCUGGUUUUUGUUUCAGGCGCCCCGGGCAGAGCCGAGAUCCGGCAGCCGCGCUCCGCAGAAGCUUUGGAGGGAGCUGAACUGAACCUCACCUGCUCUCACCCCUCAGCCAGCACUGAUAAUAUACUCUGGUACCGGCAGUUUCCGAACCGAGGACCCGAAUUUAUAGUGACUGGAUUCAGUGGAACCGCUCACAGCCCCAACCCAGAGGGAACCUUGCACAUCUCCAGGGGUAAAGAAAACAGCAUCUUCUCCCUGCGCAGGGUGCGGCUCGCAGACUCAGCGGUGUAUUACUGUGCUCGGAGAGACACAGUGGGACAGCCAGGGGAGGCUCCCGUACAAUAAAUCCCCUACUCCGAGGCUGGUAGCUAGUGUGUGUUCGUGGGGAGGGAGACAAGUCGCGGGGCCGGGGAGAGGAGAAGGUAAGAAGCCAGAAAGGAGAAAGAGAACAUUUAA